UACAGAGGGGGCGAGCGUUGUUCGGAAUUACUGGGCGUAAAGGGCGCGUAGGCGGCCUUCUAAGUCGAACGUGAAAUCCCCGGGCUCAACCUGGGAACUGCAUUUGUGACUGCAUCGCUGGAGUGCGGCAGAGGGGGAUGGAAUUCCGCGUGUAGCAGUGAAAUGCGUAGAUAUGCGGAGGAACACCGAUGGCGAAGGCAAUCCCCUGGGCCUGCACUGACGCUCAUGCACGAAAGCGUGGGGAGCAAACAGG
RNAcentral lists this ribosomal RNA (253 nucleotides) under uncultured bacterium. Its description in RNAcentral is "partial 16S ribosomal RNA". It matches the Rfam family "Bacterial small subunit ribosomal RNA", at positions 524 to 776 of the family's 1533-position model. The record is from RNAcentral.